UAGUGGUCUACCAGAGAGGGCACAUGUGCCUCAAUUGGCCUAUAGCAUAGGGGCUCAUUAUCCUUCCACCGCUGGUGGCGGGCGGUACUCGCUGCUCUAUGAAACCAGCCUCACGCAAUGUCCGCCACUUUAGGUGUUGGGAUGCAAAGGCUUUCGCCAAGGCACCCGAAACCCACUACAUAACUUGGAAUGGGUAGUCCACAGUUUGUAGCACUAGACCCAGGCACAUGCACCACAAUUGACAUCCACACUACCUUAUUGCCCCCGCUCGGGUUACAAGCAAUCGCUAUUUGCUCAGCGAGUGAGGGGGUUCAGGACUACCUAUUUAAGGUGGUGUUGUACUCUAUGAGCCGACGGUGUGGUAUUUACCAACAACAAAUAGUGUCAUGCAUGUGACUUGCUAGUUGACAAAGUCUGUUGUCGAGCUAGAUGUGGGCUAUGGCUGAAGCACAUUAGGAUAUAAUAUGCCUAUUUUGUUUUUUUGUUGUUUUUUGGGCCACGAUGGACAUUAUGUUGAUGUAGUGAAAUUUUUUCUUGUGUUUCCUCUUCCUACGAAGUGGAAAGUGGGUGCGUCAGAGAAGAAAGAAAGAGUGGCUAGCAUUGAUUUUACGUCAUCCCAUUGAGAUUACUAAUCAAAAGCAGAAGCAACAAUAUUUCAUGCAUAUACAACACUUGUAAUCCAUAUAAACAACUUUCCUUUAAAAUAUAAUAUAAACCACAUGAUUUAUAUCCUAGGUCGGAUAUCUCCACAAAGGGCAUGAAAACGCUCCUAGGUUUGUAGUAUAGAACUAAGAGUGUCUACUCUCACGAUUUCUUCCCGACAUAUGCAAACUAGACAGUAAUCACAUAAAAUAAAGAAAUAUGUGUUAACAUGAACUUAUAGCAUGUAUUUCAACCUAUAGAUUGUUGAUUAUUAUGGUAGAUUAUAUAAUAUAGGGGUUCCCGAAGAAAUACAUAAAAACCAAGAGCAUUAAAAUUUCCUUUUCAGAUUUGGCUAUCUGGUAAAAGGAGUUGGAGUAUCUGAGUUUCCAAAUUUGGGACGUAGCUCUAUAGAACGAAUAUAAAUACGUUGGAAAAAAUUCUACAAGGAAAGGUUUAAUACAAGUAGGGCUAAGAAAAACUCAAUGAGGCUUUGGUCGCAUGGUCACAAGACUUGAGACAAGAAACACGAAGACAACAAGGUAAUUAGUAUGAGAGUUUUCCAAAUUUGGUGUCUUGAUGUAGAAAAAAUAAAUAUAUGACAAACAUGUUUUUUGCAAGGCAUGGUAAAAUAAGUGGGAGUGAGCAAUAAAUUUUAUCAUAGAUUUAGAAGGAAUAAAUAUAUCACUAAAUACGUUUUUUCACAAUGCCAAGUUAAUCAGGCGGGACCGAGAAACAAUUGUAGUAAAGCUAGGUUGUACUAGCCCAAAACUACAUACAACAGAGGAAAAAUGAAGAAAAUGAUGGUCUACCAAAUAUGGCGCAUGAGCCUUAAGGUGCACCUAGAGGGAAGUAGAAGAAAUAAAUAUAUAAUAGGAUAUGUUUUUCGCAAAGCUAGGUGAAGUGUAGAUGUGCUCUAACUAGACUUAGAUUGCAGCGAUACAUUAUGCAUCCACAAGGCUUGGUUGCUCAUGGAAAAAGAUAGAGAGAGAAAUGUAGACGCAGGACCGGGAGAAAAACAUUCAAUGAGACGUGAUUGCACGGACAUAGAACUAGAUAUAAGACAAGAGUUAAAGAAAAAUAAAGGAACUAAAUUUUCUUCUGCACACUAAGCAUGAAUGGAGUUGUAGUAUCUGAGAUCAAAAUUUAAUUUAUUCCAAGAUGUAGAACAAAAACGUGAUACUCGUAAUGGUUACAUAGGAACAAAAGUAGAUAAGAAAAAUAGCAAAAAGAUAGUGGUCUACCAGAGAGGGCACAUGUGCCUCAAUUGGCCUAUAGCAUAGCGACUCAUUAUCCUUCCACCGCUGGUGGCGGGCGGUACUCGCUGCUCUGUGAAGCCAGCCUCACGCAAUGUCCGCCACUUUAGGUGUUGGGAUGCAAAGGCUUUCGCCAAGGCAUCCAAAACCCACUACACAACUUGGAAUGGGUGGUCCACAGUUUGUAGCACUAGACCCAGGCGCAUGCACCACAAUUGACAUCCACACUACCUUAUUGCCCCUGUUCGGGUUACAAGCAAUCGCUACUUGCUCAGCGAGUGAGGGGGGUCAGGACUACCUGUUUAAGGUGGUGAUGUACUCUAUGAGCCGGCGGUGUGGUAUUUACCAACAACAAAUAGUGUCAUGCAUGUGACUUGCUAGUUGACAAAGUCUAUUGUCGAGAUAGAUAUGGGCUAUGGCUGAAGCACAUUUGGAUAUAGUAGGCCUAUUUUGUUUUUUGUUGUUUUUGGGCCACUAUGGACUUUAUGUUGAUGUUGUUUAAUUUUUUCUUGUGUUUCCUCUUCCUACGAUGUGGAAAGUGGGUGCGUCAGAGAAGAAAGAAAGAGUGGCUAGCAUUGAUUUUACGUCAUACCAUUGAGAACACUAAUCAGAAGCAGAAGCAACAAUAUUUCAUACAUAUACAACAGUUGUAAUCCAUAUAAACAACUUUCCUUUAAAAUAUAAUAUAAACCACAUGAUUUAUAUCCUGGGUCGGCUAUCUCCACAAAGGGCAAGAAAACGCUCCAAGUUUGUAGUAUAGAACUAAAAGUGUCGAUUCUCACGAUUUCUUCCCGACAUAUACAAACUAGACAGUAAUCACACAAAAUAAAGAAAUAUGUGUUAACACGAACUUAUAGCAUGUAUUUCAACAUAUAGACUAUUGAUUAUUAUGGUAGAUUAUAUAAAAUAGGGGUUCCCGAAGAAAUACAUAAAAACAAGAGCAUUAAAAUUUCCUUUUCAGAUCUGGCUAUCUAGUAAAAGGAGUUGGAGUAACUGAGUUUCCAAAUUUGUGACGUAGCUCUAUAGAAGGAAUAUAAACACGUUGGAAAAAUUCUACAAGGAAAGGUCUAAUACAAGUAGGGCUAAGAAAAACUCAAUGAGGCUUUGGUCGCAUGGUCACAAAACUUGAGACAAGAAACACGAAGACACCAAGGUAAUUAGUAUGAGAGUUUUCCAAAUUUGGUGUCUUGAUGUAGAAAAAAUAAAUAUAUGACAAACUUGUUUUUUCGCAAGGCAUGGAUAAAUAAGUGGGGGUGAGCAAUAAAUUUCAUCAUAGAUUUAGAAGGAAUAAAUAUAUCACUAAAUACGUUUUUUUCACAAUGCCAAGUUAACCAGGCGGGACCGAGAAACAUUUCUAGCCAGGCUAGGUUGUACUAGCCCGAAACUACAUACAACAGAGGAAAAAUGAAGAAAAUGAUGGUCUACCAAAUAGGGCGCAUGAGCCUUAAGGUGCACCUAGAGGGAAGUAGAAGAAAUAAAUAUAUAAUAGCAUAUGUUUUUCGCAAUGCAAGGUAAAGUGUAGAUGUGCUCUAACUGGGCUUAGAUUGCAGCGACACAUUAUGCAUCUACAAGGCUUGGUUGCACAUGGAAAAAGAUAGAGAGAGAAAUGUAGACGCAGGACCGGGAGAAAAACAUUCAAUGAGACAUGAUUGCACGGACAUAGAACUAGAUAUAAGACAAGAGUUAAAGAAAAAUAAAGGAACUAAAUUUUCUUCUGCACACUAAGCAUGAAUGGAGUUGUAGUAUCAGAGAUCAAAAUUUAAUUUAUUCCAAGAUGCAGAACAAAAACGUGAUACUCGUAAUGGUUACAUAGGAACAAAAGUAGAUAAGAAAAAUAGCAAAAAGAUAGUGGUCUACCAGAGAGGGCACAUGUGCCUCAAUUGGCCUAUAGCAUAGCGACUCAUUAUCCUUCCACCGCUGGUGGCGGGCGAUACUCGCUGCUCUGUGAAGCCAGCCUCACGCAAUGUCCGCCACUUUAGGUGUUGGGAUGCAAAGGCUUUCUCCAAGGCAUCCGAAACCCACUACACAACUUGGAAUGGGUGGUCCACAGUUUGUUGCACUAGACCCAGGCACAUGCACCACAAUUGACAUCCACACUACCUUAUUGCCCCCGCUCGGGUUACAAGCAAUCGCUACUUGCUCAGCGAGUGAGGGGGUUCAAGACUACCUAUUUAAGGUGGUGUUGUACUCUAUGAGCCGACAGUGUGGUAUUUACCAACUACAAAUAGUGUCAUGCAUGUGACUUGCUAGUUGACAAUGUCUGUUGUCGAGCUAGAUGUGGGCUAUGGAUGAAGCACAUUAGGAUAUAGUAGGCCUAUUUUGUUUUUUGUUGUUUUUGGGCCACUAUGGACUUUAUGUUGAUGUUGUGAAAUUUUUUCCUGUGUUUCCUCUUCCUACGAUGUGGAAAGUGGGUGCGUCAGAGAAGAAAGAAAGAGUAGCUAGCAUUGAUUUUACGUCAUACCAUUGAGAACACUAAUCAGAAGCAGAAGCAACAAUAUUUCAUACAUAUACAACACUUGUAAUCCAUAUAAACAACUUUCCUUUAAAAUAUAAUAUAAACCACAUGAUUUAUAUCCUGGGUCGGCUAUCUCCACAAAGGGCAAGAAAACGCACCAAGUUUGUAGUAUAGAACUAAAAGUGUCGAUUCUCACGAUUUCUUCCCGACAUAUACAAACUAGACAGUAAUCACAUAAAAUAAAGAAAUAUGUGUUAACACGAACUUAUAGCAUGUAUUUCAACAUAUAGACUAUUGAUUAUUAUGGUAGAUUAUAUAAAAUAGGGGUUCCCGAAGAAAUACAUAAAAACAAGAGCAUUAAAAUUUCCUUUUCAGAUCUGGCUAUCUAGUAAAAGGAGUUGGAGUAACUGAGUUUCCAAAUUUGUGACGUAGCUCUAUAGAAGGAAUAUAAACACGUUGGAAAAAUUCUACAAGGAAAGGUCUAAUACAAGUAGGGCUAAGAAAAACUCAAUGAGGCUUUGGUCGCAUGGUCACAAAACUUGAGACAAGAAACACGAAGACACCAAGGUAAUUAGUAUGAGAGUUUUCCAAAUUUGGUGUCUUGAUGUAGAAAAAAUAAAUAUAUGACAAACUUGUUUUUUCGCAAGGCAUGGAUAAAUAAGUGGGGGUGAGCAAUAAAUUUCAUCCUAGAUUUAGAAGGAAUAAAUAUAUCACUAAAUACGUUUUAUCAAAAUGCCAAGUUAAUCAGGUGGGAGCGAGAAACAAUUCUAGCGAGGCUAGGUUGUACUAGCCCAAAACUACAUACAACAGAGGAAAAAUGAAGAAAAUGAUGGUCUACCAAAUAGGGCGCAUGAGCCUUAAGGUGCACCUAGAGGGAAGUAGAAGAAAUAAAUAUAUAAUAGCAUAUGUUUUUCGCAAUGCAAGGUAAAGUGUAGAUGUGCUCUAACUGGGCUUAGAUUGCAGCGACACAUUAUGCAUCUACAAGGCUUGGUUGCACAUGGAAAAAGAUAGAGAGAGAAAUGUAGACGCAGGACCGGGAGAAAAACAUUCAAUGAGACAUGAUUGCACGGACAUAGAACUAGAUAUAAGACAAGAGUUAAAGAAAAAUAAAGGAACUAAAUUUUCUUCUGCACACUAAGCAUGAAUGGAGUUGUAGUAUCUGAGAUCAAAAUUUAAUUUAUUCCAAGAUGCAGAACAAAAAUGUGAUACUCGUAAUGGUUACAUAGGAACAAAAGUAGAUAAGAAAAAUAGCAAAAAGAUAGUGGUCUACCAGAGAGGGCACAUGUGCCUCAAUUGGCCUAUAGCAUAGCGACUCAUUAUCCUUCCACCGCUGGUGGCGGGCGAUACUCGCUGCUCUGUGAAGCCAGCCUCACGCAAUGUCCGCCACUUUAGGUGUUGGGAUGCAAAGGCUUUCUCCAAGGCAUCCGAAACCCACUACACAACUUGGAAUGGGUGGUCCACAGUUUGUAGCACUAGACCCAGGCACAUGCACCACAAUUGACAUCCACACUACCUUAUUGCCCCCGCUCGGGUUACAAGCAAUCGCUACUUGCUCAGCGAGUGAGGGGGUUCAAGACUACCUAUUUAAGGUGGUGUUGUACUCUAUGAGCCGACAGUGUGGUAUUUACCAACUACAAAUAGUGUCAUGCAUGUGACUUGCUAGUUGACAAUGUCUGUUGUCGAGCUAGAUGUGGGCUAUGGAUGAAGCACAUUAGGAUAUAGUAGGCCUAUUUUGUUUUUUGUUGUUUUUGGGCCACUAUGGACUUUAUGUUGAUGUUGUGAAAUUUUUUCCUGUGUUUCCUCUUCCUACGAUGUGGAAAGUGGGUGCGUCAGAGAAGAAAGAAAGAGUAGCUAGCAUUGAUUUUACGUCAUACCAUUGAGAACACUAAUCAGAAGCAGAAGCAACAAUAUUUCAUACAUAUACAACACUUGUAAUCCAUAUAAACAACUUUCCUUUAAAAUAUAAUAUAAACCACUUGAUUUAUAUCCUGGGUCGGCUAUCUCCACAAAGGGCAAGAAAACGCACCAAGUUUGUAGUAUAGAACUAAAAGUGUCGAUUCUCACGAUUUCUUCCCAACAUAUACAAACUAGACAGUAAUCACAUAAAAUAAAGAAAUAUGUGUUAACACGAACUUAUAGCAUGUAUUUCAACAUAUAGAUUGUUGAUUAUUAUGGUAGAUUAUAUAAAAUAGGGGUUCCCGAAGAAAUACAUAAAAACAAGAGCAUUAAAAGUUCCUUUUCAGAUCUGGCUAUCUAGUAAAAGGAGUUGGAGUAACUGAGUUUCCAAAUUUGUGACGUAGCUCUAUAGAAGGAAUAUAAAUACGUUGGAAAAAUUCUACAAGGAAAGGUCUAAUACAAGUAGGGCUAAGAAAAACUCAAUGAGGCUUUGGUCACAUGGUCACAAAACUUGAGACAAGAAACACGAAGACACCAAGGUAAUUAGUAUGAGAGUUUUCCAAAUUUGGUGUCUUGAUGUAGAAAAAAUAAAUAUAUGACAAACUUGUUUUUUCGCAAGGCAUGGAUAAAUAAGUGGGGGUGAACAAUAAAUUUCAUCCUAGAUUUAGAAGGAAUAAAUAUAUCACUAAAUACGUUUUUUCACAAUGCCAAGUUAAUCAGGUGGGAGCGAGAAACAAUUCUAGCGAGGCUAGUUUGUACUAGCCCAAAACUACAUACAACAGAGGAAAAAUGAAGAAAAUGAUGGUCUACCAAAUAGGGCGCAUGAGCCUUAAGGUGCACCUAGAGGGAAGUAGAAGAAAUAAAUAUAUAAUAGCAUAUGUUUUUCGCAAUGCAAGGUAAAGUGUAGAUGUGCUCUAACUGGGCUUAGAUUGCAGCGACACAUUAUGCAUCUACAAGGCUUGGUUGCACAUGGAAAAAGAUAGAGAGAGAAAUGUAGACGCAGGACCGGGAGAAAAACAUUCAAUGAGACAUGAUUGCACGGACAUAGAACUAGAUAUAAGACAAGAGUUAAAGAAAAAUAAAGGAACUAAAUUUUCUUCUACACACUCAGCAUGAAUGGAGUUGUAGUAUCUGAGAUCAAAAUUUAAUUUAUUCCAAGAUGCAGAACAAAAACGUGAUACUCGUAAUGGUUACAUAGGAACAAAAGUAGAUAAGAAAAAUAGCAAAAAGAUAGUGGUCUACCAGAGAGGGCACAUGUGCCUCAAUUGGCCUAUAGCAUAGCGACUCAUUAUCCUUCCACCGCUGGUGGCGGGCGGUACUCGCUGCUCUAUGAAGCCAGCCUCACGCAAUGUCCGCCACUUUAGGUGUUGGGAUGCAAAGGCUUUCGCCAAGGCAUCCGAAACCCACUACACAACUUGGAAUGGGUGGUCCACAGUUUGUAGCACUAGACCCAGGCACAUGCACCACAAUUGACAUCCACACUACCUUAUUGCCCCCGCUCGGGUUACAAGCAAUCGCUACUUGCUCAGCGAGUGAGGGGGUUCAAGACUACCUAUUUAAGGUGGUGUUGUACUCUAUGAGCCGACAGUGUGGUAUUUACCAACUACAAAUAGUGUCAUGCAUGUGACUUGCUAGUUGACAAUGUCUGUUGUCGAGCUAGAUGUGGGCUAUGGAUGAAGCACAUUAGGAUAUAGUAGGCCUAUUUUGUUUUUUGUUAUUUUUGGGCCACUAUGGACUUUAUGUUGAUGUUGUGAAAUUUUUUCUUGUGUUUCCUCUUCCUACGAUGUGGAAAGUGGGUGCGUCAGAGAAGAAAGAAAGAGUAGCUAGCAUUGAUUUUCCGUCAUACCAUUGAGAACACUAAUCAGAAGCAGAAGCAACAAUAUUUCAUACAUAUACAACACUUGUAAUCCAUAUAAACAACUUUCCUUUAAAAUAUAAUGUAAACCACAUGAUUUAUAUCUAGGGUCGGCUAUCUCCACAAAGGGCAAGAAAACGCUCCAAGUUUGUAGUAUAGAACUAAAAGUGUCGAUUCUCACGAUUUCUUCCCGACAUAUACAAACUAGACAGUAAUCACAUAAAAUAAAGAAAUAUGUGUUAACACGAACUUAUAGCAUGUAUUUCAACAUAUAGAUUGUUGAUUAUUAUGGUAGAUUAUAUAAAAUAGGGGUUCCCGAAGAAAUACGUAAAAACAAGAGCAUUAAAAUUUCCUUUUCAGAUCUGGCUAUCUAGUAAAAGGAGUUGGAGUAACUGAGUUUCCAAAUUUGUGACGUAGCUCUAUAGAAGGAAUAUAAAUACGUUGGAAAAAUUCUACAAGGAAAGGUCUAAUACAAGUAGGGCUAAGAAAAACUCAAUGAGGCUUUGGUCGCAUGGUCACAAAACUUGAGACAAGAAACACGAAGACACCAAGGUAAUUAGUAUGAGAGUUUUCCAAAUUUGGUGUCUUGAUGUAGAAAAAAUAAAUAUAUGACAAACUUGUUUUUUCGCAAGGCAUGGAUAAAUAAGUGGGGGUGAACAAUAAAUUCAUCCUAGAUUUAGAAGGAAUAAAUAUAUCACUAAAUACGUUUUUUCACAAUGCCAAGUUAAUCAGGUGGGAGCGAGAAACAAUUCUAGCGAGGCUAGGUUGUACUAGCCCAAAACUACAUACAACAGAGGAAAAAUGAAGAAAAUGGUGGUCUACCAAAUAGGGCGCAUGAGCCUUAAGGUGCACCUAGAGGGAAGUAGAAGAAAUAAAUAUAUAAUAGCAUAUGUUUUUCGCAAUGCAAGGUAAAGUGUAGAUGUGCUCUAACUGGGCUUAGAUUGUAGCGACACAUUAUGCAUCUACAAGGCUUGGUUGCUCAUGGAAAAAGAUAGAGACAGAAAUGUAGACGCAGGACCGGGAGAAAAACAUUCAAUGAGACGUGAUUGCACGGACAUAGAACUAGUUAUAAGACAAGAGUUAAAGAAAAAUAAAGGAACUAAAUUUUCUUCUGCACACUAAGCAUGAAUGGAGUUGUAGUAUCUGAGAUCAAAAUUUAAUUUAUUCCAAGAUGCAGAACAAAAACGUGAUACUCGUAAUGGUUACAUAGGAACAAAAGUAGAUAAGAAAAAUAGCAAAAAGAUAGUGGUCUACCAGAGAGGGCACAUGUGCCUCAAUUGGCCUAUAGCAUAGCGACUCAUUAUCCUUCCACCGCUGGUGGCGGGCGGUACUCGCUGCUCUGUGAAGCCAACCUCACGCAAUGUCCGCCACUUUAGGUGUUGGGAUGCAAAGGCUUUCGCCAAGGCAUCCGAAACCCACUACACAACUUGGAAUGGGUGGUCCACAGUUUGUAGCACUAGACCCAGGCACAUGCACCACAAUUAACAUUCACACUACCUUAUUGCCCCCGCUCGGGUUACAAGCAAUCGCUACUUGCUCAGCGAGUGAGGGGGUUCAAGACUACCUAUUUAAGGUGGUGUUGUACUGUAUGAGCCGGCGGUGUGGUAUUUACCAACUACAAAUAGUGUCAUGCAUGUGACUUGCUAGUUGACAAUGUCUGUUGUCGAGCUAGAUGUGGGCUAUGGAUGAAGCACAUUAGGAUAUAGUAGGCCUAUUUUGUUUUUUGUUGUUUUUGGGACACUAUGGACUUUAUGUUGAUGUUGUGAAAUUUUUUCUUGUGUUUCCUUUUCCUACGAUGUGGAAAGUGGGUGCGUCAGAGAAGAAAGAAAGAGUGGCUAGCAUUGAUUUUACGUCAUACCGUUGAGAACACUAAUCAGAAGCAGAAGCAACAAUAUUUCAUACAUAUACAACACUUGUAAUCCAUAUAAACAACUUUCCUUUAAAAUAUAAGAUAAACCACAUGAUUUAUAUCCUGGGUCGGCUAUCUCCACAAAGGGCAAGAAAACGCUCCAAGUUUGUAGUAUAGAACUAAAAGUGUCGAUUCUCACGAUUUCUUCCCGACAUAUACAAACUAGACAGUAAUCACAUAAAAUAAAGAAAUAUGUGUUAACAAGAACUUAUACCAUGUAUUUCAACAUAUAGAUUGUUGAUUAUUAUGGUAGAUUAUAUAAAAUAGGGGUUCCCGAAGCAAUACAUAAAAACAAGAGCAUUAAAAUUUCCUUUUCAGAUUUGGCUAUCUGGUAAAAGGAGUUGGAGUAACUGAGUUUCCAAAUUUGUGCCGUAGCUCUAUAGAAGGAAUAUAAAUACGUUGGAAAAAUUCUAUAAGGAAAGGUUUAAUACAAGUAGGGCUAAGAAAAACUCAAUGAGGCUUUGGUCGCAUGGUCACAAAACUUGAGACAAGAAACACGAAGACACCAAGGUAAUUAGUAUGAGAGUUUUCCAAAUUUGGUGUCUUGAUGUAGAAAAAUAAAUAUAUGAAAAACUUGUUUUUUCGCAAGGCAUGGAUAAAUAAGUGGGGGUGAGCAAUAAAUUUCAUCCUUGAUUUAGAAGGAAUAAAUAUAUCACUAAAUACGUUUUUUCACAAUGCCAAGUUAAUCAGGUGGGACCGAGAAACAAUUCUAGCGAGGCUAGGUUGUACUAGCCCAAAACUACAUACUACAGAGGAAAAAUGAAGAAAAUGAUGGUCUACCAAAUAUGGCGCAUGAGCCUUAAGGUGCACCUAGAGGGAAGUAGAAGAAAUAAAUAUAUAAUAGCAUAUGUUUUUCGCAAUGCAAGGUAAAGUGUAGAUGUGCUCUAACUAGGCUUAGAUUGCAGCGACACAUUAUGCAUCUACAAGGCUUGGUUGCACAUGGAAAAAGAUAGAGAGAGAAAUGUAGACGCAGGACCGAGAGAAAAACAUUCAAUGAGACGUGAUUGCACGGACAUAGAACUAGAUAUAAGACAAGAGUUAAAGAAAAAUAAAGGAACUAAAUUUUCUUCUGCACACUAAGCAUGAAUGGAGUUGUAGUAUCUGAGAUCAAAAUUUAAUUUAUUCCAAGAUGCAGAACAAAAACGUGAUACUCGUAAUGGUUACAUAGGAACAAAAGUAGAUAAGAAAAAUAGCAAAAAGAUAGUGGUCUACCAGAGAGGGCACAUGUGCCUCAAUUGGCCUAUAGCAUAGCGACUCAUUAUCCUUCCACCGCUGGUGGCGGGCGGUACUCGCUGCUCUGUGAAGCCAGCCUCACGCAAUGUCCGCCACUUUAGGUGUUGGGAUGCAAAGGCUUUCGCCAAGGCAUCCGAAACCCACUACACAACUUGGAAUGGGUGUUCCACAAUUUGUAGCACUAGACCCAGGCACAUGCACCACAAUUGACAUCCACACUACCUUAUUGCCUCCGCUCGGGUUACAAGCAAUCGCUACUUGCUCAGCGAGUGAGGGGGUUCAAGACUACCUAUUUGAGGUGGUGUUGUACUCUAUGAGCCGGCGGUGUGGUAUUUACCAACUACAAAUAGUGUCAUGCAUGUGACUUGCUAGUUGACAAUGUCUGUUGUCGAGCUAGAUGUGGGCUAUGGAUGAAGCACAUUAGGAUAUAGUAGGCCUAUUUUGUUUUUUGUUGUUUUUGGGCCACUAUGGACUUUAUGUUGAUGUUGUGAAAUUUUUUCUUGUGUUUCCUCUUCAUACGAUGUGGAAAGUGGGUGCCGUCAGAGAAGAAAGAAAGAGCGGCUAGCAUUGAUUUUACGUCAUACCAUUGAGAACACUAAUUAGAAGCAGAAGCAACAAUAUUUCAUACAUAUACAACACUUGUAAUCCAUAUAAACAACAUUCCUUUAAAAUAUAAUAUAAACCACAUGAUUUAUAUCCUGGGUCAGCUAUCUCCACAAAGGGCAAGAAAACGCUCCAAGUUUGUAGUAUAGAACUAAAAGUGUCGAUUCUCACGAUUUCUUCCCGACAUAUACAAACUAGACAGUAAUCACAUAAAAUAAAGAAAUAUGUGUUAACACGAACUUAUAACAUGUAUUUCAACAUAUAGAUUGUUGAUUAUUAUGGUAGAUUAUAUAAAAUAGGGGUUCCCGAAGAAAUACAUAAAAACAAGAGCAUUAAAAUUUCCUUUUCAGAUCUGGCUAUCUGGUAAAAGGAGUUGGAGUAACUGAGUUUCCAAAUUUGUGACGUAGCUCUAUAGAAGGAAUAUAAAUACGUUGGAAAAAUUCUACAAGGAAAGGUUUAAUACAAGUAGGGCUAAGAAAAACUCAAUGAGGCUUUGGUCGCAUGGUCACAAAACUUGAGACAAGAAACACGAAGACACCAAGGUAAUUAGUAUGAGAGUUUUCCAAAUUUGGUGUCUUGAUGUAGAAAAAAUAAAUAUAUGACAAACUUGUUUUUUCGCAAGGCAUGGAUAAAUAAGUGGGGGCGAGCAAUAAAUUUCAUCCUAGAUUUAGAAGGAAUAAAUAUAUCACUAAAUACGUUUUUUCAUAAUGCCAAGUUAAUCAGGUGGGAGCGAGAAACAAUUCUAGCGAGGUUAGGUUGUACUAGCCCAAAACUACAUACAACAGAGGAAAAAUGAAGAAAAUGAUGGUCUACCAAAUAUGGCGCAUGAGCCUUAAGGUGCACGUAGAGGGAAGUAUAAGAAAUAAAUAUAUAAUAGCAUAUGUUUUUCGCAAUGCAAGGUAAAGUGUAGAUGUGCUCUAACUGGGCUUAGAUUGCAGCGACACAUUAUGCAUCUACAAGGCUUGGUUGCACAUGGAAAAAGAUAGAGAGAGAAAUGUAGACACAGGACCGGGAGAAAAACAUUCAAUGAGACAUGAUUGCACGGACAUAGAACUAGAUAUAAGACAAGAGUUAAAGAAAAAUAAAGGAACUAAAUUUUCUUCUACACACUCAGCAUGAAUGGAGUUGUAGUAUCUGAGAUCAAAAUUUAAUUUAUUCCAAGAUGCAGAACAAAAACGUGAUACUCGUAAUGGUUACAUAGGAACAAAAGUAGAUAAGAAAAAUAGCAAAAAGAUAGUGGUCUACCAGAGAGGGCACAUGUGCCUCAAUUGGCCUAUAGCAUAGCGACUCAUUAUCCUUCCACCGCUGGUGGCGGGCGGUACUCGCUGCUCUGUGAAGCCAGCCUCACGCAAUGUCCGCCACUUUAGGUGUUGGGAUGCAAAGGCUUUCGCCAAGGCAUCCGAAACCCACUACACAACUUGGAAUGGGUGUUCCACAGUUUGUAGCACUAGACCAUGGCACAUGCACCACAAUUGACAUCCACACUACCUUAUUGCCCCCGCUCGGGUUACAAGCAAUCACUACUUGCUCAUCAAGUGAGGGGGUUCAAGACUACCUAUUUAAGGUGGUGUUGUACUCUAUGAGCCGACGGUGUGGUAUUUACCAACUACAAAUAGUGUCAUGCAUGUGACUUGCUAGUUGACAAUGUCUGUUGUCGAGCUAGAUGUGGGCUAUGGAUGAAGCACAUUAGGAUAUAGUAGGCCUAUUUUGUUUUUUGUUGUUUUUGGGCCACUAUGGACUUUAUGUUGACGUUGUGAAAUUUUUUCUUGUGUUUCCUCUUCCUACGAUGUGGAAAGUGGGUGCCGUCAGAGAAGAAAGAAAGAGUGGCUAGCAUUGAUUUUACGUCAUACCAUUGAGAACACUAAUCAGAAGCAGAAGCAACAAUAUUUCAUACAUAUACAACACUUGUAAUCCAUAUAAACAACUUUCCUUUAAAAUAUAAUAUAAACCACAUGAUUUAUAUCCUGGGUCGGCUAUCUCCACAAAGGGCAAGAAAACGCUCCAAGUUUGUAGUAUAGAACUAAAAGUGUCGAUUCUCACGAUUUCUUCCCGACAUAUACAAACUAGACAGUAAUCACAUAAAAUAAAGAAAUAUGUGUUAACACGAACAUAUAGCAUGUAUUUCAACAUAUAGAUUGUUGAUUAUUAUGGUAGAUUAUAUAAAAUAGGGGUUCCCGAAGAAAUACAUAAAAACAAGAGCAUUGAAAUUUCCUUUUCAGAUCUGGCUAUCUGGUAAAAGGAGUUGGAGUAACUGAGUUUCCAAAUUUGUGACGUAGCUCUAUAGAAGGAAUAUAAAUACGUUGGAAAAAUUCUACAAGGAAAGGUUUAAUACAAGUAGGGCUAAGAAAAACUCAAUGAGGCUUUGGUCGCAUGGUCACAAAACUUGAGACAAGAAACACGAAGACACCAAGGUAAUUAGUAUGAGAGUUUUCCAAAUUUGGUGUCUUGAUGUAGAAAAAAUAAAUAUAUGACAAACUUGUUUUUUCGCAAGGCAUGGAUAAAUAAGUGGGGGCGAGCAAUAAAUUUCAUCCUAGAUUUAGAAGGAAUAAAUAUAUCACUAAAUACGUUUUUUCAUAAUGCCAAGUUAAUCAGGUGGGAGCGAGAAACAAUUCUAGCGAGGCUAGGUUGUACUAGCCCAAAACUACAUACAACAGAGGAAAAAUGAAGAAAAUGAUGGUCUACCAAAUAUGGCGCAUGAGCCUUAAGGUGCACCUAGAGGGAAGUAGAAGAAAUAAAUAUAUAAUAGCAUAUGUUUUUCGCAAUGCAAGGUAAAGUGUAGAUGUGCUCUAACUGGGCUUAGAUUGCAGCGACACAUUAUGCAUCUACAAGGCUUGGUUGCACAUGGAAAAAGAUAGAGAGAGAAAUGUAGACACAGGACCGGGAGAAAAACAUUCAAUGAGACAUGAUUGCACGGACAUAGAACUAGAUAUAAGACAAGAGUUAAAGAAAAAUAAAGGAACUAAAUUUUCUUCUGCACACUCAGCAUGAAUGGAGUUGUAGUAUCUGAGAUCAAAAUUUAAUUUAUUCCAAGAUGCAGAACAAAAACGUGAUACUCGUAAUGGUUACAUAGGAACAAAAGUAGAUAAGAAAAAUAGCAAAAAGAUAGUGGUCUACCAGAGAGGGCACAUGUGCCUCAAUUGGCCUAUAGCAUAGCGACUCAUUAUCCUUCCACCGCUGGUGGCGGGCGGUACUCGCUGCUCUGUGAAGCCAGCCUCACGCAAUGUCCGCCACUUUAGGUGUUGGGAUGCAAAGGCUUUCGCCAAGGCAUCCGAAACCCACUACACAACUUGGAAUGGGUGGUCCAAAGUUUGUAGCACUAGACCCAGGCACAUGCACCACAAUUGACAUCCACACUACCUUAUUGCCCCCGCUCGGGUUACAAGCAAUCGCUACUUGCUCAGCGAGUGAGGGGGUUCAACACUACCUAUUUAAGGUGGUGUUGUACUCUAUAAGCCGGCGGUGUGGUAUUUACCAACUACAAAUAGUGUCAUGCAUGUGACUUGCUAGUUGACAAUGUCUGUUGUCGAGCUAGAUGUGGGCUAUGGAUGAAGCACAUUAUGAUAUAGUAGGCCUAUUUUGUUUUUUGUUGUUUUUGGGCCACUAUGGACUUUAUGUUGAUGUUGUGAAAUUUUUUCUUGUGUUUCCUCUUCCUACGAUGUGUAAAGUGGGUGUGUUAGAGAAGAAAGAAAGAGUGGCUAGCAUUGAUUUUACGUCAUACCAUUGAGAACACUAAUCAGAAGCAGAAGCAACAAUAUUUCAUACAUAUACAACACUUGUAAUCCAUAUAAACAACUUUCCUUUAAAAUAUAAUAUAAACCACAUGAUUUAUAUCCUGGGUCGGCUAUCUCCACAAAGGGCAAGAAAACGCUCCAAGUUUGUAGUAUAGAACUAAAAGUGUCGAUUCUCACGAUUUCUUCCCGACAUAUACAAACUAGACAGUAAUCACAUAAAAUAAAGAAAUAUGUGUUAACACGAACUUAUAGCAUGUAUUUCAACAUAUAGAUUGUUGAUUAUUAUGGUAGAUUAUAUAAAAUAGGGGUUCCCAAAGAAAUACAUAAAACAAGAGCAUUAAAAUUUCCUUUUCAGAUCUGGCUAUCUGGUAAAAGGAGUUGGAGUAACUGAGUUUCCAAAUUUGUGACGUAGCUCUAUAGAAGGAAUAUAAAUACGUUGGAAAAAUUCUACAAGGAAAGGUUUAAUACAAGUAGGGCUAAGAAAAACUCAAUGAGGCUUUGGUCGCAUGGUCACAAAACUUGAGACAAGAAACACGAAGACACAAAGGUAAUUAGUAUGAGAGUUUUCCAAAUUUGGUGUCUUGAUGUAGAAAAAAUAAAUAUAUGACAAACUUGUUUUUUCGCAAGGCAUGGAUAAAUAAGUGGGGGUGAGCAAUAAAUUUCAACCUAGAUUUAGAAGGAAUAAAUAUAUCACUAAAUACAUUUUUUACAAUGCCAAGUUAAUCAGGUAGGAGCGAGAAACAAUUCUAGCGAGGCUAGGUUGUACUAGCCCAAAACUACAUACAAAAGAGGAAAAAUGAAGAAAAUGAUGGUCUACCAAAUAUGGCACAUGAGCCUUAAGGUGCACCUAGAGGGAAGUAGAAGAAUAAAUAUAUAAUAGCAUAUGUUUUUCGCAAUGCAAGGUAAAGUGUAGAUGUGCUCUAACUGGGCUUAGAUUGCAGCGACACAUUAUGCAUCUACAAGGCUUGGUUGCACAUGGAAAAAGAUAGAGAGAGAAAUGUAGACGCAGGACCGGGAGAAAAACAUUCAAUGAGACGUGAUUGCACGGACAUAGAACUAGAUAUAAGACAAGAGUUAAAGAAAAAAGGAACUAAAUUUUCUUGUGCACACUAAGCAUGAAUGGAGUUGUAGUAUCUGAGAUCAAAAUUUAAUUUAUUCCAAGAUGCAGAACAAAAACGUGAUACUCGUAAUGGUUACAUAGGAACAAAAGUAGAUAAGAAAAAUAGCAAAAAGAUAUUGGUCUACCAGAGAGGGCACAUGUGCCUCAAUUGGCCUAUAGCAUAGUGGCUCAUUAUCCUUCAACCGCUGGUGGCGGGCGGUACUCGCUGCUCUGUGAAGCCAGCCUCACGCAAUGUCCGCCACUUUAGGUGUUGGGAUGCAAAGGCUUUCGCCAAGGCAUCCGAAACCCACUACACAACUUGGAAUGGGUGGUCCACAGUUUGUAGCACUAGACCCAGGCACAUGCACCACAAUUGACAUUCACACUACCUUAUUGCCCCCGCUCGGGUUACAAGCAAUCGCUACUUGCUCAGCGAGUGAGGGGGGUUCAAGACUACCUAUUUAAGGUGGUGUUGUACUGUAUGAGCCGGCGGUGUGGUAUUUACCAACUACAAAUAGUGUCAUGCAUGUGACUUGCUAGUUGACAAUGUCUGUUGUGGAGCUAGAUGUGGGCUAUGGAUGAAGCACAUUAGGAUAUAGUAGGCCUAUUUUGUUUUUUGUUAUUUUUGGGCCACUAUGGACUUUAUGUUGAUGUUGUGAAUUUUUUUCUUGUGUUUCCUCUUCCUACGAUGUGGAAAGUGGGUGCGUCAGAGAAGAAAGAAAGAGUGGCUAGCAUUGAUUUUACGUCAUACCAUUGAGAACACUAAUCAGAAGCAGAAGCAACAAUAUUUCAUACAUAUACAACACUUGUAAUCCAUAUAAACAACUUUCCUUUCAAAUAUAAUAUAAACCACAUGAUUUAUAUCCUGGGUCGGCUAUCUCCACAAAGGGCAAGAAAACGCUCCAAGUUUGUAGUAUAGAACUAAAAGUGUCGACUCUCACGAUUUCUUCCCGACAUAUGCAAACUAGACAGUAAUCACAUAAAAUAAAGAAAUAUGUGUUAACACAAACUUAUAACAUGUAUUUCAACAUAUAGAUUUUUGAUUAUUAUGGUAGAUUAUAUAAUAUAGGGGUUCCCGAAGAAAUACAUAAAAAACAAGAGCAUUAAAAUUUCCUUUUCAGAUCUGGCUAACUGGUAAAGGGAGUUGGAGUAUCUGUGUUUCCAAAUUUGGGACGUCGCUCUAUAGAAGGAAUAUAAAUACAUUGGAAAAAAAUUCUACAAGGAAAGGUUUAAUACAAGUAGGGCUAAGAAAAACUCAAUGAGGCUUUGGUCGCAUGGUCACAAAACUUGAGACAAGAAACACGAAGACACCAAGGUAAUUAGUAUGAGAGUUUUCCAAAUUUGGUGUCUUGAUGUAGAAAAAAUAAAUAUAUGACAAACUUGUUUUUUCGCAAGGCAUGGAUAAAUAAGUGGGGGUGAGCAAUAAAUUUCAUCCUAGAUUUAGAAGGAAUAAAUAUAUCACUAAAUACGUUUUUUCAUAAUGCCAAGUUAAUCAGGUGGGAGCGAGAAACAAUUCUAGCGAGGCUAGGUUGUACUAGCCCAAAACUACAUACAACAGAGGAAAAAUGAAGAAAAUGAUGGUCUACCAAAUAUGGCGCAUGAGCCUUAAGGUGCACCUAGAGGGAAGUAGAAGAAAUAAAUAUAUAAUAGCAUAUGUUUUUCUCAAUGCAAGGUAAAGUGUAGAUGUGCUCUAACUGGGCUUAGAUUGCAGCGACACAUUAUGCAUCUACAAGGCUUGGUUGCACAUGGAAAAAGAUAGAGAGAGAAAUGUAGACACAGGACGGGGAGAAAAACAUUCAAUGAGACAUGAUUGCACGGACAUAGAACUAGAUAUAAGACAAGAGUUAAAGAAAAAUAAAGGAACUAAAUUUUCUUCUGCACACUCAGCAUGAAUGGAGUUGUAGUAUCUGAGAUCAAAAUUUAAUUUAUUCCAAGAUGCAGAACAAAAACGUGAUACUCGUAAUGGUUACAUAGGAACAAAAGUAGAUAAGAAAAAUAGCAAAAAGAUAGUGGUCUACCAGAGAGGGCACAUGUGCCUCAAUUGGCCUAUAGCAUAGCGACUCAUUAUCCUUCCACCGCUGGUGGCGGGCGGUACUCGCUGCUCUGUGAAGCCAGCCUCACGCAAUGUCCGCCACUUUAGGUGUUGGGAUGCAAAGGCUUUCGCCAAGGCAUCCGAAACCCACUACACAACUUGGAAUGGGUGGUCCACAGUUUGUAGCACUAGACCCAGGCACAUGCACCACAAUUGACAUCCACACUACCUUAUUGCCCCCGCUCGGGUUACAAGCAAUCGCUACUUGCUCAGCGAGUGAGGGGGUUCAAGACUACCUAUUUAAGGUGGUGUUGUACUCUAUAAGCCGGCGGUGUGGUAUUUACCAACUACAAAUAGUGUCAUGCAUGUGACUUGCUAGUUGACAAUGUCUGUUGUCGAGCUAGAUGUGGGCUACGGAUGAAGCACAUUAUGAUAUAGUAGGCCUAUUUUGUUUUUUGUUGUUUUUGGGCCACUAUGGACUUUAUGUUGAUGUUGUGAAAUUUUUUCUUGUGUUUCCUCUUCCUACGAUGUGGAAAGUGGGUGUGUUAGAGAAGAAAGAAAGAGUGGCUAGCAUUGAUUUUACGUCAUACCAUUGAGAACACUAAUCAGAAGCAGAAGCAACAAUAUUUCAUACAUAUACAACACUUGUAAUCCAUAUAAACAACUUUCCUUUAAAAUAUAAUAUAAACCACAUGAUUUAUAUCCUGGGUCGGCUAUCUCCACAAAGGGCAAGAAAACGCUCCAAGUUUGUAGUAUAGAACUAAAAGUGUCGAUUCUCACGAUUUCUUCCCGACAUAUACAAACUAGACAGUAAUCACAUAAAAUAAAGAAAUAUGUGUUAACACAAACUUAUAGCAUGUAUUUCAACAUAUAGAUUGUUGAUUAUUAUGGUAGAUUAUAUAAAAUAGAGGUUCCCGAAGAAAUACAUAAAAACAAGAGCAUUAAAAUUUCCAUUUCAGAUCUGGCUAUCUGGUAAAAGGAGUUGGAGUAACUGAGUUUCCAAAUUUGUGACGUAGCUCUAUAGAAGGAAUAUAAAUACGUUGGAAAAAUUCUACAAGGAAAGGUUUAAUACAAGUAGGGCUAAGAAAAACUCAAUGAGGCUUUGGUCGCAUGGUCACAAAACUUGAGACAAGAAACACGAAGACACCAAGGUAAUUAGUAUGAGAGUUUUCCAAAUUUGGUGUCUUGAUGUAGAAAAAAUAAAUAUAUGACAAACUUGUUUUUUCGCAAGGCAUGGAUAAAUAAGUGGGGGCGAGCAAUAAAUUUCAUCCUAGAUUUAGAAGGAAUAAAUAUAUCACUAAAUACGUUUUUUCAUAAUGCCAAGUUCAUCAGGUGGGAGCGAGAAACAAUUCUAGCGAGGUUAGGUUGUACUAGCCCAAAACUACAUACAACAGAGGAAAAAUGAAGAAAAUGAUGGUCUACCAAAUAUGGCGCAUGGGCCUUAAGGUGCACCUAGAGGGAAGUAUAAGAAAUAAAUAUAUAAUAGCCUAUGUUUUUCGCAAUGCAAGGUAAAGUGUAGAUGUGCUCUAACUGGGCUUAGAUUGCAGCGACACAUUAUGCAUCUACAAGGCUUGGUUGCACAUGGAAAAAGAUAGAGAGAGAAAUGUAGACACAGGACGGGGAGAAAAACAUUCAAUGAGACAUGAUUGCACGGACAUAGAACUAGAUAUAAGACAAGAGUUAAAGAAAAAUAAAGGAACUAAAUUUUCUUCUGCACACUCAGCAUGAAUGGAGUUGUAGUAUCUGAGAUCAAAAUUUAAUUUAUUCCAAGAUGCAGAACAAAAACGUGAUACUCGUAAUGGUUACAUAGGAACAAAAGUAGAUAAGAAAAAUAGCAAAAAGAUAGUGGUCUACCAGAGAGGGCACAUGUGCCUCAAUUGGCCUAUAGCAUAGCGACUCAUUAUCCUUCCACCGCUGGUGGCAGGCGGUACUCGCUGCUCUGUGAAGCCAGCCUCACGCAAUGUCCGCCACUUUAGGUGUUGGGAUGCAAAGGCUUUCGCCAAGGCAUCCGAAACCCACUACGCAACUUGGAAUGGGUGGUCCACAGUUUGUAGCACUAGACCCAGGCACAUGCACCACAAUUGACAUCCACACUACCUUAUUGCCCCCGCUCGGGUUACAAGCAAUCGCUACUUGCUCAGCGAGUGAGGGGGUUCAAGACUACCUAUUUAAGGUGGUGUUGUACUCUAUAAGCCGGCGGUGUGGUAUUUACCAACUACAAAUAGUGUCAUGCAUGUGACUUGCUAGUUGACAAUGUCUGUUGUCGAGCUAGAUGUGGGCUAUGGAUGAAACACAUUACGAUAUAGUAGGCCUAUUUUGUUUUUUGUUGUUUUUGGGCCACUAUGGACUUUAUGUUGAUGUUGUGAAAUUUUUUCUUGUGUUUCCUCUUCCUAUGAUGUGGAAAGUGGGUGGGUUAGAGAAGAAAGAAAGAGUGGCUAGCAUUGAUUUUACGUCAUACAAUUGAGAACACUAAUCAGAAGCAGAAGCAACAAUAUUUCAUACAUAUACAACACUUGUAAUCCAUAUAAACAACUUUCCUUUAAAAUAUAAUAUAAACCACAUGAUUUAUAUCCUGGGUCGGCUAUCUCCACAAAGGGCAAGAAAACGCUCCAAGUUUGUAGUAUAGAACUAAAAGUGUCGAUUCUCACGAUUUCUUCCCGACAUAUACAAACUAGACAGUAAUCACAUAAAAUAAAGAAAUAUGUGUUAACACGAACUUAUAGCAUGUAUUUCAACAUAUAGAUUGCUGAUUAUUAUGGUUGAUUAUAUAAAAUAGGGGUUCCCGAAGAAAUACAUAAAAACAAGAGCAUUAAAAUUUCCUUUUCAGAUCUGGCUAUCUGGUAAAAGGAGUUGGAGUAACUGAGUUUCCAAAUUUGUGACGUAGCUCUAUAGAAGGAAUAUAAAUACGUUGGAAAAAUUCUACAAGGAAAGGUUUAAUACAAGUAGGGCUAAGAAAAACUCAAUGAGGCUUUGGUCGCAUGGUCACAAAACUUGAGACAAGAAACACGAAGACACCAAGGUAAUUAGUAUGAGAGUUUUCCAAAUUUGGUGUCUUGAUGUAGAAAAAAUAAAUAUAUGACAAACUUGUUUUUUCGCAAGGCAUGGAUAAAUAAGUGGGGGUGAGCAAUAAAUUUCAUCCUAGAUUUAGAAGGAAUAAAUAUAUCACUAAAUACGUUUUUUACAAUGCCAAGUUAAUUAGGUGGGAGCGAGAAACAAUUCUAGCGAGGCUAGGUUGUACUAGCCCAAAACUACAUACAACAGAGGAAGAAUGAAGAAAAUGAUGGUCUACCAAAUAUGGCACAUGAGCCUUAAGGUGCACCUAGAGGGAAGUAGAAGAAUAAAUAUAUAAUAGCAUAUGUUUUUCGCAAUGCAAGGUAAAGUGUAGAUGUGCUCUAACUGGGCUUAGAUUGCAGCGACACAUUAUGCAUCUACAAGGCUUCGUUGCACAUGGAAAAAGAUAGAGAGAGAAAUGUAGACGCAGGACCGGGAGAAAAACAUUCAAUGAGACGUGAUUGCACGGACAUAGAACUAAGUAUAAGACAAGAGUUAAAGAAAAAAGGAACUAAAUUUUCUUGUGCACACUAAGCAUGAAUGGAGUUGUAGUAUCUGAGAUCAAAAUUUAAUUUAUUCCAAGAUGCAGAACAAAAACGUGAUACUCGUAAUGGUUACAUAGGAACAAAAGUAGAUAAGAAAAAUAGCAAAAAGAUAUUGGUCUACCAGAGAGGGCACAUGUGCCUCAAUUGGCCUAUAGCAUAGUGGCUCAUUAUCCUUCCACCGCUGGUGGCGGGCGGUACUCGCUGCUCUGUGAAGCCAGCCUCACGCAAUGUCCGCCACUUUAGGUGUUGGGAUGCAAAGGCUUUCGCCAAGGCAUCCGAAACCCACUACACAACUUGGAAUGGGUGGUCCACAGUUUGUAGCAAUAGACCCAGGCACAUGCACCACAAUUGACAUUCACACUACCUUAUUGCCCCCGCUCGGGUUACAAGCAAUCGCUACUUGCUCAGCGAGUGAGGGGGUUCAAGACUACCUAUUUAAGGUGGUGUUGUACUGUAUGAGCCGGCGGUGUGGUAUUUACCAACUACAAAUAGUGUCAUGCAUGUGACUUGCUAGUUGACAAUGUCUAUUGUCGAGCUAGAUGUGGGCUAUAGAUGAAGCACAUUAGGAUAUAGUAGGCCUAUUUUGUUUUUUGUUGUUUUUGGGCCACUAUGGACUUUAUGUUGAUGUUGUGAAAUUUUUUCUUGUGUUUCCUCUUCCUACGAUGUGGAAAGUGGGUGCUUCAGAGAAGAAAGAAAGAGUGGCUAGCAUUGAUUUUACGUCAUACCAUUGAGAACACUAAUCAGAAGCAGAAGCAACAAUAUUUCAUACAUAUACAACACUUGUAAUCCAUAUAAACAACUUUCCUUUCAAAUAUAAUAUAAACCACAUGAUUUAUAUCCUGGGUCGGCUAUCUCCACAAAGGGCAAGAAAACGCUCCAAGUUUGUAGUAUAGCACUAAAAGUGUCGACUCUCACGAUUUCUUCCCGACAUAUGCAAACUAGACAGUAAUCACAUAAAAUAAAGAAAUAUGUGUUAACACAAACUUAUAGCAUGUAUUUCAACAUAUAGAUUUUUGAUUAUUAUGGUAGAUUAUAUAAUAUAGGGGUUCCCGAAAAAAUACAUAAAAAACAAGAGCAUUAAAAUUUCCUUUUCAGAUCUGGCUAACUGGUAAAGGGAGUUGGAGUAUCUGAGUUUCCAAAUUUGGGACGUCGCUCUAUAGAAGGAAUAUAAAUACAUUGGAAAAAAUUCUACAAGGAAAGGUUUAAUACAAGUAGCGCUAAGAAAAACUCAAUGAGGCUUUGGUCGCUUGGUCACAAAACUUGAGACAAGAAACACGAAGACACCAAGGUAAUUAGUAUGAGAGUUUUCCAAAUUUGGUGUCUUGAUGUAGAAAAAAUAAAUAUAUGACAAACUUGUUUUUUCGCAAGGCAUGGAUAAAUAAGUGGGGGUGAGCAAUAAAUUUCAUCCUAGAUUUAGAAGGAAUAAAUAUAUCACUAAAUACGUUUUUUCACAAUGCCAAGUUAAUCAGGUGGGAGCGAGAAACAAUUCUAGCGAGGCUAGGUUGUACUAGCCCAAAACUACAUACAACAGAGGAAAAAUAAAGAAAAUGAUGGUCUACCAAAUAGGGCGCAUGAGCCUUAAGGUGCACCUAGAGGGAAGUAGAAGAAAUAAAUAUAUAAUAGCAUAUGUUUUUCGCAAUGCAAGGUAAAGUGUAGAUGUGCUCUAACUGGGCUUAGAUUGCAGCGACACAUUAUGCAUCUACAAGGCUUGGUUGCACAUGGAAAAAGAUAGAGAGAGAAAUGUAGACGCAGGACCGGGAGAAAAACAUUCAAUGAGACGUGAUUGCACGGACAUAGAACUAGAUAUAAGACAAGAGUUAAAGAAAAAUAAAGGAACUAAAUUUUCUUCUGCACACUAAGCAUGAAUGGAGUUGUAGUAUCUGAGAUCAAAAUUUAAUUUAUUCCAAGAUGCAGAACAAAAACGUGAUACUCGUAAUGGUUACAUAGGAACAAAAGUAGAUAAGAAAAAUAGCAAAAAGAUAGUGGUCUACCAGAGAGGGCACAUGUGCCUCAAUUGGCCUAUAGCAUAGCGACUCAUUAUCCUUCCACCGCUGGUGGCGGGCGGUACUCGCUGCUCUGUGAAGCCAGCCUCACGCAAUGUCCGCCACUUUAGGUGUUGGGAUGCAAAGGCUUUCGCCAAGGCAUCCGAAACCCACUACACAACUUGGAAUGGGUGGUCCACAGUUUGUAGCACUAGACCCAGGCACAUGCACCACAAUUGACAUCCACACUACCUUAUUGCCCCCGCUCGGGUUACAAGCAAUCGCUACUUGCUCAGCGAGUGAGGGGGUUCAAGACUACCUAUUUAAGGUGGUGUUGUACUCUAUGAGCCGGCGGUGUGGUAUUUACCAACUACAAAUAGUGUCAUGCAUGUGACUUGCUAGUUGACAAUGUCUGUUGUCAAGCUAGGUGUGGGCUAUGGAUGAAGCACAUUAGGAUAUAGUAGGCCUAUUUUGUUUUUUGUUGUUUUUGGGCCACUAUGGACUGUAUGUUGAUGUUGUGAAAUUUUUUUCUUGUGUUUCCUCUUCCUACGAUGUGGAAAGUGGGUGCGUCAGAGAAGAAAGAAAGAGUGGCUAGCAUUGAUUUUACGUCAUACCAUUGAGAACACUAAUCAGAAGCAGAAGCAACAAUAUUUCAUACAUAUACAACACUUGUAAUCCAUAUAAACAACAUUCCUUUAAAAUAUAAUAUAAACCACAUGAUUUAUAUCCUGGGUCGGCUAUCUCCACAAAGGGCAAGAAAACGCUCCAAGUUUGUAGUAUAGCACUAAAAGUGUCGAUUCUCACGAUUUCUUCCCGACAUAUACAAACUAGACAGUAAUCACAUAAAAUAAAGAAAUAUGUGUUAACACGAACUUAUAACAUGUAUUUCAACAUAUAGAUUGUUGAUUAUUAUGGUAGAUUAUAUAAAAUAGGGGUUCCCGAAGAAAUACAUAAAAACAAGAGCAUUAAAAUUUCCUUUUCAGAUCUGGCUAUCUGGUAAAAGGAGUUGGAGUAACUGAGUUUCCAAAUUUGUGACGUAGCUCUAUAGAAGGAAUAUAAAUACGUUGGAAAAAUUCUAUAAGGAAAGGUUUAAUACAAGUAGGGCUAAGAAAAACUCAAUGAGGCUUUGGUCGCAUGGUCACAAAACUUGAGACAAGAAACACGAAGACACCAAGGUAAUUAGUAUGAGAGUUUUCCAAAUUUGGUGUCUUGAUGUAGAAAAAAUAAAUAUAUGACAAACUUGUUUUUUCGCAAGGCAUGGAUAAAUAAGUGGGGGUGAGCAAUAAAUUUCAUCCUAGAUUUAGAAGGAAUAAAUAUAUCACUAAAUAUGUUUUUUCACAAUGCCAAGUUAAUCAGGUGGGAGCGAGAAACAAUUCUAGCGAGGCUAGGUUGUACUAGCCCAAAACUACAUACAACAGAGGAAAAAUGAAGAAAAUGAUGGUCUACCAAAUAUGGCGCAUGAGCCUUAAGGUGCACCUAGAGGGAAGUAGAAGAAAUAAAUAUAUAAUAGCAUAUGUUUUUCGCAAUGCAAGGUAAAGUGUAGAUGUGCUCUAACUGGGCUUAGAUUGCAGCGACACAUUAUGCAUCUACAAGGCUUGGUUGCACAUGGAAAAAGAUAGAGAGAGAAAUGUAGACGCAGGACCGGGAGAAAAACAUUCAACGAGACGUGAUUGCACGGACAUAGAACUAGAUAUAAGACAAGAGUUAAAGAAAAAUAAAGGAACUAAAUUUUCUUCUGCACACUAAGCAUGAAUGGAGUUGUAGUAUCUGAGAUCAAAAUUUAAUUUAUUCCAAGAUGCAGAACAAAAACGUGAUACUCGUAAUGGUUACAUAGGAACAUAAGUAGAUAAGAAAAAUAGCAAAAAGAUAGUGGUCUACCAGAGAGGGCACAUGUGCCUCAAUUGGCCUAUAGCAUAGCGACUCAUUAUCCUUCCACCGCUGGUGGCGGGCGGUACUCGCUGCUCUGUGAAGCCAGCCUCACGCAAUGUCUGCCACUUUAGGUGUUGGGAUGCAAAGGCUUUCGCCAAGGCAUCCGAAACCCACUACACAACUUGGAAUGGGUGGUCCACAGUUGGUAGCACUAGACCCAGGCACAUGCACCACAAUUGACAUCCACACUACCUUAUUGCCCCCGCUCGGGUUACAAGCAAUCGCUACUUGCUCAGCGAGUGAGGGGGUUCAAGACUACCUAUUUAAGGUGGUGUUGUACUCUAUGAGCCGGUGGUGUGGUAUUUACCAACUACAAAUAGUGUCAUGCAUGUGACUUGCUAGUUGACAAUGUCUGUUGUCAAGCUAGGUGUGGGCUAUGGAUGAAGCACAUUAGGAUAUAGUAGGCCUAUUUUGUUUUUUGUUGUUUUUGGGCCACUAUGGACUUUAUGUUGAUGUUGUGAAUUUUUUUUCUUGUGUUUCCUCUUCCUACAAUGUGGAAAGUGGGUGCGUCAGAGAAGAAAGAAAGAGUGGCUAGCAUUGAUUUUACGUCAUACCAUUGAGAACACUAAUCAGAAGCAGAAGCAACAAUAUUUCAUACAUAUACAACACUUGUAAUCCAUAUAAACAACAUUCCUUUAAAAUAUAAUAUAAACCACAUGAUUUAUAUCCUGGGUCGGCUAUCUCCACAAAGGGCAAGAAAACGCUCCAAGUUUGUAGUAUAGCACUAAAAGUGUCGAUUCUCACGAUUUCUUCCCGACAUAUACAAACUAGACAGUAAUCACAUAAAAUAAAGAAAUAUGUGUUAACACGAACUUAUAGCAUGUAUUUCAACAUAUAGAUUGUUGAUUAUUAUGGUAGAUUAUAUAAAAUAGGGGUUCCCGAAGAAAUACAUAAAAACAAGAGCAUUAAAAUUUCCUUUUCAGAUCUGGCUAUCUGGUAAAAGGAGUUGGAGUAACUGAGUUUCCAAAUUUGUGACGUAGCUCUAUAGAAGGAAUAUAAAUACGUUGGAAAAAUUCUAUAAGGAAAGGUUUAAUACAAGUAGGGCUAAGAAAAACUCAAUGAGGCUUUGGUCGCAUGGUCACAAAACUUGAGACAAGAAACACGAAGACACCAAGGUAAUUAGUAUGAGAGUUUUCCAAAUUUGGUGUCUUGAUGUAGAAAAAAUAAAUAUAUGACAAACUUGUUUUUCGCAAGGCAUGGAUAAAUAAGUGGGGGUGAGCAAUAAAUUUCAUCCUAGAUUUAGAAGGAAUAAAUAUAUCACUUAAUAUGUUUUUUCACAAUGCCAAGUUAAUCAGGUGGGAGCGAGAAACAAUUCUAGCGAGGCUAGGUUGUACUAGCCCAAAACUACAUACAACAGAGGAAAAAUGAAGAAAAUGAUGGUCUACCAAAUAUGGUGCAUGAGCCUUAAGGUGCACCUAGAGGGAAGUAGAAGAAAUAAAUAUAUAAUAGCAUAUGUUUUUCGCAAUGCAAGGUAAAGUGUAGAUGUGCUCUAACUGGGCUUAGAUUGCAGCGACACAUUAUGCAUCUACAAGGCUUGGUUGCACAUGGAAAAAGAUAGAGAGAGAAAUGUAGACGCAAGACCGGGAGAAAAACAUUCAAUGAGACGUGAUUGCACGGACAUAGAACUAGAUAAAAGACAAGAGUUAAAGAAAAAUAAAGGAACUAAAUUUUCUUCUGCACACUAAGCAUGAAUGGAGUUGUAGUAUCUGAGAUCAAAAUUUAAUUUAUUCCAAGAUGCAGAACAAAAACGUGAUACUCGUAAUGGUUACAUAGGAACAUAAGUAGAUAAGAAAAAUAGCAAAAAGAUAGUGGUCUACCAGAGAGGGCACAUGUGCCUCAAUUGGCCUAUAGCAUAGCGACUCAUUAUCCUUCCACCGCUGGUGGCGGGCGGUACUCGCUGCUCUGUGAAGCCAGCCUCACGCAAUGUCCGCCACUUUAGGUGUUGGGAUGCAAAGGCUUUUGCCAAGGCAUCCGAAACCCACUACACAACUUGGAAUGGGUGGUCCACAGUUUGUAGCACUAGACCCAGGCACAUGCACCACAAUUGACAUCCACACUACCUUAUUGCCCCCGCUCGGGUUACAAGCAAUCGCUACUUGCUCAACGAGUGAGGGGGUUCAAGACUACCUAUUUAAGGUGGUGUUGUACUCUAUGAGCCGGCGGUGUGGUAUUUACCAACUACAAAUAGUGUCAUGCAUGUGACUUGCUAGUUGACAAUGUCUGUUGUCAAGCUAGGUGUGGGCUAUGGAUGAAGCACAUUAGGAUAUAGUAGGCCUAUUUUGUUUUUUGUUGUUUUUGGGCCACUAUGGACUUUAUGUUGAUGUUGUGAAUUUUUUUUCUUGUGUUUCCUCUUCCUACGAUGUGGAAAGUGGGUGCGUCAGAGAAGAAAGAAAGAGUGGCUAGCAUUGAUUUUACGUCAUACCAUUGAGAACACUAAUCAGAAGCAGAAGCAACAAUAUUUCAUACAUAUACAACACUUGUAAUCCAUAUAAACAACAUUCCUUUAAAAUAUAAUAUAAACCACAUGAUUUAUAUCCUGGGUCAGCUAUCUCCACAAAGGGCAAGAAAACGCUCCAAGUUUGUAGUAUAGCACUAAAAGUGUCGAUUCUCACGAUUUCUUCCCGACAUAUACAAACUAGACAGUAAUCACAUAAAAUAAAGAAAUAUGUGUUAACACGAACUUAUAGCAUGUAUUUCAACAUAUAGAUUGUUGAUUAUUAUGGUAGAUUAUAUAAAAUAGGGGUUCCCGAAGAAAUACAUAAAAACAAGAGCAUUAAAAUUUCCUUUUCAGAUCUGGCUAACUGGUAAAGGGAGUUGGAGUAUCUGAGUUUCCAAAUUUGGGACGUCGCUCUAUAGAAGGAAUAUAAAUACAUUGGAAAAAAUUCUACAAGGAAAGGUUUAAUACAAGUAGCGCUAAGAAAAACUCAAUGAGGCUUUGGUCGCUUGGUCACAAAACUUGAGACAAGAAACACGAAGACACCAAGGUAAUUAGUAUGAGAGUUUUCCAAAUUUGGUGUCUUGAUGUAGAAAAAAUAAAUAUAUGACAAACUUGUUUUUUCGUAAGGCAUGGAUAAAUAAGUGGGGGUGAGCAAUAAAUUUCAUCCUAGAUUUAGAAGGAAUAAAUAUAUCACUAAAUAGGUUUUUUCACAAUGCCAAGUUAAUCAGGUGGGAGCGAGAAACAAUUCUAGCGAGGCUAGGUUGUACUAGCCCAAAACUACAUACAACAGAGGAAAAAUGAAGAAAAUGAUGGUCUACCAAAUAUGGCGCAUGAGCCUUAAGGUGCACCUAGAGGGAAGUAGAAGAAAUAAAUAUAUAAUGGCAUAUGUUUAUCGCAAUGCAAGGUAAAGUGUAGAUGUGCUCUAACUGGGCUUAGAUUGCAGCGACACAUUAUGCAUCUACAAGGCUUGGUUGCACAUGGAAAAAGAUAGAGAGAGAAAUGUAGAUGCAGGACCGGGUGAAAAACAUUCAAUGAGACGUGAUUGCACGGACAUAGAACUAGAUAUAAGACAAGAGUUAAAGAAAAAUAAAGGAACUAAAUUUUCUUCUGCACACUAAGCAUGAAUGGAGUUGUAGUAUCUGAGAUCAAAAUUUAAUUUAUUCCAAGAUGCAGAACAAAAAUGUGAUACUCGUAAUGGUUACAUAGGAGCAAAAGUAGAUAAGAAAAAUAGCAAAAAGAUAGUGGUCUACCAGAGAGGGCACAUGUGCCUCAAUUGUCUUAUAGCAUAGCGACUCAUUAUCCUUCCACCGCUGGUGGCGGGCGGUACUCGCUGCUCUGUGAAGCCAGCCUCACGCAAUGUCCGCCACUUUAGGUGUUGGGAUGCAAAGACUUUCGCCAAGGCAUCCGAAACCCACUACACAACUUGGAAUGGGUGGUCCACUGUUUGUAGCACUAGACCCAGGCACAUGCACCACAAUUGACAUCCACACUACCUUAUUGCCCCGCUCGGGUUACAAGCAAUCGCUACUUGCUCAGCGAGUGAGGGGGUUCAAGACUACCUAUUUAAGGUGGUGUUGUACUCUAUGAGCCGGCGGUGUGGUAUUUACCAACUACAAAUAGUGUCAUGCAUGUGACUUGCUAGUUGACAAUGUCUGUUGUCAAGCUAGGUGUGGGCUAUGGAUGAAGCACAUUAGGAUAUAGUAGGCCUAUUUUGUUUUUUGUUGUUUUUGGGCCACUAUGGACUUUAUGUUGAUGUUGUGAAAUUUUUUUCUUGUGUUUCCUCUUCCUACGAUGUGGAAAGUGGGUGCGUCAGAGAAGAAAGAAAGAGUGGCUAGCAUUGAUUUUACGUCAUACCAUUGAGAACACUAAUCAGAAGCAGAAGCAACAAUAUUUCAUACAUAUACAACACUUGUAAUCCAUAUAAACAACAUUCCUUUAAAAUAUAAUAUAAACCACAUGAUUUAUAUCCUGGGUCGGCUAUCUCCACAAAGGGCAAGAAAACGCUCCAAGUUUGUAGUAUAGCACUAAAAGUGUCGAUUCUCACGAUUUCUUCCCGACAUAUACAAACUAGACAGUAAUCACAUAAAAUAAAGAAAUAUGUGUUAACACGAACUUAUAGCAUGUAUUUCAACAUAUAGAUUUUUGAUUAUUAUGGUAGAUUAUAUAAAAUAGGGGUUCCCGAAGAAAUACAUAAAAACAAGAGCAUUAAAAUUUCCUUUUCAGAUCUGGCUAUCUGGUAAAAGGAGUUGGAGUAACUGAGUUUCCAAAUUUGUGACGUAGCUCUAUAGAAGGAAUAUAAAUACGUUGGAAAAAUUCUAUAAGGAAAGGUUUAAUACAAGUAGGGCUAAGAAAAACUCAAUGAGGCUUUGGUCGCAUGGUCACAAAACUUGAGACAAGAAACACGAAGACACCAAGGUAAUUAGUAUGAGAGUUUUCCAAAUUUGGUGUCUUGAUGUAGAAAAAAUAAAUAUAUGACAAAUUUGUUUUUUCGCAAGGCAUGGAUAAAUAAGUGGGGGUGAGCAAUAAAUUUCAUCCUAGAUUUAGAAGGAAUAAAUAUAUCACUAAAUACAUUUUUUCACAAUGCCAAAUUAAUCAGGUGGGAGCGAGAAACAAUUGUAGCGAGGCUAGGUUGUACUAGCCCAAAACUACAUACAACAGAGGAAAAAUGAAGAAAAUGAUGGUCUACCAAAUAUGGCGCAUGAGCCUUAAGGUGCACCUAGAGGGAAGUAGAAGAAAUAAAUAUAUAAUAGCAUAUGUUUUUCGCAAUGCAUGGUAAAGUGUAGAUGUGCUCUAACUGGGCUUAGAUUGCAGCGACACAUUAUGCAUCUACAAGGCUUGGUUGCACAUGGAAAAAGAUACAAAAAGAAAUGUAGACGCAGGACCGGGAGAAAAACAUUCAAUGAGACGUGAUUGCACGGACAUAGAACUAGAUAUAAGACAAGAGUUAAAGAAAAAUAAAGGAACUAAAUUUUCUUCUGCACACUAAGCAUGAAUGGAGUUGUAGUAUCUGAGAUCAAAAUUUAAUUUAUUCCAAGAUGCAGAACAAAAAUUUGAUACUCGUAAUGGUUACAUAGGAGCAAAAGUAGAUAAGAAAAAUAGCAAAAAGAUAGUGGUCUACCAGAGAGGGCACAUGUGCCUCAAUUGGCCUAUAGCAUAGCGACUCAUUAUCCUUCCACCGCUGGUGGCGGGCGGUACUCGCUGCUCUGUGAAGCCAGCCUCACACAAUGUCCGCCACUUUAGGUGUUGGGAUGCAAAGGCUUUCGCCAAGGCAUCCGAAACCCACUACACAACUUGGAAUGGGUGGUCCACUGUUUGUAGCACUAGACCCAGGCACAUGCACCACAAUUGACAUCCACACUACCUUAUUGCCCCGCUCGGGUUACAAGCAAUCGCUACUUGCUCAGCGAGUGAGGGGGUUCAAGACUACCUAUUUAAGGUGGUGUUGUACUCUAUGAGCCGGCGGUGUGGUAUUUACCAACUACAAAUAGUGUCAUGCAUGUGACUUGCUAGUUGACAAUGUCUGUUGUCAAGCUAGGUGUGGGCUAUGGAUGAAGCACAUUAGGAUAUAGUAGGCCUAUUUUGUUUUUUGUUGUUUUUGGGCCACUAUGGACUUUAUGUUGAUGUUGUGAAAUUUUUUUCUUGUGUUUCCUCUUCCUACGAUGUGGAAAGUGGGUGCGUCAGAGAAGAAAGAAAGAGUGGCUAGCAUUGAUUUUACGUCAUACCAUUGAGAACACUAAUCAGAAGCAGAAGCAACAAUAUUUCAUACAUAUACAACACUUGUAAUCCAUAUAAACAACAUUCCUUUAAAAUAUAAUAUAAACCACAUGAUUUAUAUCCUGGGUCGGCUAUCUCCACAAAGGGCAAGAAAACGCUCCAAGUUUGUAGUAUAGCACUAAAAGUGUCGAUUCUCACGAUUUCUUCCCGACAUAUACAAACUAGACAGUAAUCACAUAAAAUAAAGAAAUAUGUGUUAACACAAACUUAUAGCAUGUAUUUCAACAUAUAGAUUGUUGAUUAUUAUGGUAGAUUAUAUAAAAUAGGGGUUCCCGAAGAAAUACAUAAAAACAAGAGCAUUAAAAUUUCCUUUUCAGAUCUGGCUAUCUGGUAAAAGGAGUUGGAGUAACUGAGUUUCCAAAUUUGUGACGUAGCUCUAUAGAAGGAAUAUAAAUACGUUGGAAAAAUUCUAUAAGGAAAGGUUUAAUACAAGUAGGGCUAAGAAAAACUCAAUGAGGCUUUGGUCGCAUGGUCACAAAACUUGAGACAAGAAACACGAAGACACCAAGGUAAUUAGUAUGAGAGUUUUCCAAAUUUGGUGUCUUGAUGUAGAAAAAAUAAAUAUAUGACAAAUUUGUUUUUUCGCAAGGCAUGGAUAAAUAGGUGGGGGUGAGCAAUAAAUUUCAUCCUAGAUUUAGAAGGAAUAAAUAUAUCACUAAAUAUGUUUUUUCACAAUGCCAAGUUAAUCAGGUGGGAGCGAGAAACAAUUCUAGCGAGGCUAGGUUGUACUAGCCCAAAACUACAUACAACAGAGGAAAAAUGAAGAAAAUGAUGGUCUACCAAAUAUGGCGCAUGAGCCUUAAGGUGCACCUAGAGGGAAGUAGAAGAAAUAAAUAUAUAAUAGCAUAUAUUUUUCGCAAUGCAUGGUAAAGUGUAGAUGUGCUCUAACUGGGCUUAGAUUGCAGCGACACAUUAUGCAUCUACAAGGCUUGGUUGCACAUGGAAAAAGAUACAGAAAGAAAUGUAGACGCAGGACCGGGAGAAAAACAUUCAAUGAGACGUGAUUGCACAGACAUAGAACUAGAUAUAAGACAAGAGUUAAAGAAAAAUAAAGGAACUAAAUUUUCUUCUGCACACUAAGCAUGAAUGGAGUUGUAGUAUCUGAGAUCAAAAUUUAAUUUAUUCCAAGAUGCAGAACAAAAAUGUGAUACUCGUAAUGGUUACAUAGGAACAAAAGUAGUUAAGAAAAAUAGCAAAAAGAUAGUGGUCUACCAGAGAGGGCACAUGUGCCUCAAUUGGCCUAUAGCAUAGCGACUCAUUAUCCUUCCACCGCUGGUGGCGGGCGGUACUCGCUGCUCUGUGAAGCCAGCCUCACGCAAUGUCCGCCACUUUAGGUGUUGGGAUGCAAAGGCUUUCGCCAAGGCAUCCGAAACCCACUACACAACUUGGAAUGGGUGGUCCACAGUUUGUAGCACUAGACCCAGGCACAUGCACCACAAUUGACAUCCACACUACCUUAUUGCCCCCGCUCGGGUUACAAGCAAUCGCUACUUGCUCAGCGAGUGAGGGGGGGUCAAGACUACCUAUUUAAGGUGGUGUUGUACUCUAUGAGCAGGCGGUCUGGUAUUUACCAACUACAAAUAGUGUCAUGCAUGUGACUUGCUAGUUGACAAUGUCUGUUGUCGAGUUAGAUGUGGGCUAUGGAUGAAGCACAUUAGGAUAUAGUAGGCCUAUUUUGUUUUUUGUUGUUUUUGGGCCACUAUGGACUUUCUGUUGAUGUUGUGAAAUUUUUUCUUGUGUUUCCUCUUCCUACGAUGUGGAAAGUGGGUGCGUCAGAGAAGAAAGAAAGAGUGGCUAGCAUUGAUUUUACGUCAUACCAUUGAGAACACUAAUUAGAAGCAGAAGCAACAAUAUUUCAUACAUAUACAACACUUGUAAUCCAUAUAAACAACUUUCCUUUAAAAUAUAAUAUAAACCACAUGAUUUAUAUCCUGGGUCGGCUAUCUCUACAAAGGGCGAGAAAACGCUCCAAGUUUGUAGUAUAGAACUAAAAGUGUCGAUUCUCAUGAUUUUUCCGACAUAUACAAACUAGACAGUAAUCACAUAAAAUAAAGAAAUAUGUGUUAACACGAACUUAUAGCAUGUAUUUCAACAUACAUAUUGUUGAUUAUUAUGGUAGAUUAUAUAAAAUAGGGGUUCCCGAAGAAAUACAUAAAAACAAGAGCAUUAAAAUUUCCUUUUUAGAUCUGGCUAUCUGGUAAAAGGAGUUGGAGUAACUGAGUUUCCAAAUUUGUGACGUAGCUCUAUAGAAGGAAUAUAAAUACGUUGCAAAAAUUCUACAAGGAAAGGUUAAUACAAGUAGGGCUAAGAAAAACUCAAUUAGGCUUUGGUCGCAUGGUCACAAAACUUGAGACAAGAAACACGAAGACACCAAGGUAAUUAGUAUGAGAGUUUUCGAAAUUUGGUGUCUUGAUGUAGAAAAAAUAAAUAUAUGACAAACUUGUUUUUUCUCAAGGCAUGGAUUGAGAGCACCUAGAGGGGGGGGUGAAUAGGUGAUCCUGUGAAACUUGAAAACUUAAGCCACAAAACUUGGUUAAUCGUUAGCACAAUAAUUGCCAAGUGGCUAAAUAGGAAUCCUCAACAAAAUACAAUAACCAACAAAGAUCAAUCACAGAGAUGACACGGUGGUUAUCCCAUGGUUCGGCCAAGACCAACGCUUGCCUACUCCAUGUUGUGGCGUCCCAACGGACGAGGGUUGCAAUCAACCCCUCUCAAGCGGUCCAAAGACCCACUUGAAUACCACGGUGUUUUGCUUUGCUUAUCUUUAUCCCACUUGCGAGGAAUCUCCACAAAUUGGAGUCUCUCGCCCUUACACUUAAAGUUCACAAAGAAGCACGGAGUAAGGGAGGGAAGCAACACACACAAAUCCACAGCAAAAUGCGCACACACACGGCCAAGAAUCGAGCUCAAAAGACUAUCUCAAAGUUCUCACUAGAACGGAGCUCGAAUCACUGAGAAUGACAAACGAAUGCGCAAAGACUGAGUGUGGAUGAUCAAGAAUGCUCUAAGGUUGCUUGGUUUUUCUCCUCCAUGCGCCUAGGGGUCCCUUUUAUAGCCCCAAGGCGGCUAGGAGCCGUUGAGAACAAAUCUGGAAGGCCAUCCUUGCCUUCUGUCGUCGGGCGCACCGGACAGUCCGGUGCACACCGGACACUGUCCGGUGCCCGAUUUCCUUCCUUAAAUGGCGAAGCCGACCGUUGCAGAUGUGGGAGCCGUUGGCGCACCGGACAUGUCCGGUGCACACCGGACAGUCCGGUGCCCCCUUCCGACCGUUGGCUCGGCCACGUGUCGCGCGCGGAUUCCGUGGCCGACCGUUGGCCCGGCCGACCGUUGGCUCACCGGACAGUCCGGUGCACACCGGACAGUCCGGUGAAUUUUAGGCGUACGUCGCCGGUGAAUUCCCGAGAGCGGCCAGUUCGCUCGAGCCAGCCUGGCGCACCGGACACAGUCCGGUGCACCACCGGACAGUCCGGUGCCCCAGACCGAAACAGCCUCUUGGCUGUACACAGCCAACUCUUCUCUUUCCUUCUUCUUUUUGUUUCUGAUACUUAGACAAGUAUAUUAGUACACAAAACCAAUGUACUAAGACUUAGAAACAUACCUUUGCUCUUGAUUUGCACUUUGUCCAUUCAUGGGCAUAGAUUUACAUUUAAUUACUUGUGUUGGCACUCAAUCACCAAAAUACUUAGAAAUGGCCCAAGGGCACAUUUCCCUUUCAAUCUCCCCCUUUUUGGUGAUUUAUGCCAACACAACAUAAAGCAACUAGAACAAGUGCAAUAUUACUUCAAAUAAAAACUCAAAUUCAUUUUGAUUCAAUUUGGCAUAUAUGGAUCAUCCUUUGCCACCACUUGGUUUGUUUUUGCAAAUCAAACUCAAAAUCCUAUCUCUAAGUCAAAUCCACUUGUAGAGACAUAAAGAGAGGUUUUCCAUAGAAGAUUGAUUCAAGAUUCCAAAAACUCCCCCUUUUUCCCAUAAUCAACACUUCACCCCACAAGAGGCCAACUUUUGAUAAAAGAGACAAUGCAAGAGUAUUGACAAACCAAAAGCUCUAUCCUACUGUUUUCAAAGUUUCUCAAGUGGUAGCUGAUCCAUUUAUUGCUUUGGCCUUUAUUUUCUCCCCCUUUGGCGUCAAGCACCAAAACGGGAUCAAUCUUGGCCCUUUAACCCCAUUGCCUCACCAAAAUCUUCAAUUAAGAGCAAAUAGGCAAUAAGAGUUAAAAGAUGAACUUGGAAAAGUUACUCUUUUCAUCGGAGUGCAGUGGAAGUCUUGCAUGGUCCAAGUCCACCUUUUCCCUUUUAAUUCUCCUUCGAGACUAAAACAAGCAAACUCAAGCAUAUGGUUAGUCUCAAAGGGUCAAGUUGUAACACAUCUCCCCCUAAAACUGUGCAUCACUUUGCAACGGACUUGUGAGGUCCAGGGAGUGUUUGUACAACUUGAGCACCAUACUAAACAACAAAAUGCAAAAAGGAUCAUGAUCAAAAGCAUAAAUACAUGUAUGCUACAAUUCAAUCCAAGUUCCGCGAAUCUACGACAUUUAGCUCACUACGCAGCCUGCAAAAGGUCUUCUCAUCUAGAGGCUUGGUAAAGAUAUCGGCUAGCUGGUUCUCGGUGCUAACAUGAAACACUUCGAUAUCUCCCUUUUGCUGGUGAUCUCUCAAAAAGUGAUGCCGGAUGUCAAUGUGCUUUGUGCGGCUGUGUUCAACAGGAUUUUCCGCCAUGCGGAUAGCACUCUCAUUGUCACAUAGGAGUGGGACUUUGCUCAGAUUGUAGCCAAAGUCCCUGAGGGUUUGCCUCAUCCAAAGUAGUUGCGCGCAACACUGUCCUGCGGCAACAUACUCGGCCUCAGCGGUGGAUAGGGCAACGGAGGUUUGUUUCUUAGAGUUCCACGACACCAGGGACCUUCCUAAGAAUUGGCACGUCCCUGAUGUACUCUUCCUAUCGACCUUACAUCCAGCAUAGUCGGAAUCUGAGUUUCCAACCAAGUCAAAGGUAGACCCCUUUGGAUACCAGAGCCCGAAGCAAGGCGUAGCAACCAAAUAUCUAAGAAUUCGCUUCACCGCCACUAAGUGACACUCCUUAGGAUUGGAUUGAAAUCUAGCACACAUGCAUACGCUAAGCAUAAUAUCCGGUCUACUAGCACAUAAAUAAAGUAAAGACCCUAUCAUUGACCGGUAUGCUUUUUGAUCAACGGACUUACCUCCUUUGUUGAGGUCGGUGUGUCCGUCGGUCCCCAUCGGAGUCUUUGCGGGCUUGGCGUCCUUCAUCCCAAACCGCUUCAGCAGGUCUUGCGUGUACUUUGUUUGGGAGAUGAAGGUGCCGUCCUUGAGUUGCUUCACUUGAAACCCAAGGAAGUAGUUCAACUCGCCCAUCAUCGACAUCUCGAAUUUCUGCAUCAUAACCCUGCUAAACUCUUCACAAGACUUUUGGUUAGUAGAACCAAAUAUUAUGUCAUCGACAUAAAUUUGGCACACAAACAAAUCACCAUCACAUGUCUUAGUAAAAAGAGUUGGAUCGGCUUUCCCAACCUUGAAGGCAUUUGCAAUUAAAAAGUCUUUAAGGCAUUCAUACCAUGCUCUUGGGGCUUGCUUAAGUCCAUAGAGCGCCUUAGAGAGCUUACACACGUGGUCGGGGUACCGUUCAUCCUCGAAGCCAGGGGGUUGCUCUACGUACACCUCCUCCUUGAUUGGCCCGUUGAGGAAAGCGCUCUUCACAUCCAUUUGGAACAACCUGAAAGAAUGGUGAGCGACAUAUGCUAGCAAGAUACGAAUUGAUUCUAGCCUAGCCACAGGAGCAAACGUCUCCUCAAAGUCCAAACCUGCGACUUGGGCAUAACCUUUUGCCACAAGUCGAGCCUUGUUCCUCGUCACCACCCCGUGCUCGUCCUGUUUGUUGCGGAAUACCCACUUGGUUCCCACAACGUUUUGCUUGGGACGAGGCACCAGUGUCCAAACUUCAUUUCGCUUGAAGUUGUUGAGUUCCUCCUGCAUGGCUAACACCCAGUCCGGAUCUAGCAAGGCCUCUUCUACCCUGAAAGGCUCAAUAGAAGAGACAAAGGAGUAAUGCUCACAAAAAUUAACUAAUCGAGAUCGAGUAGUUACUCCCUUGCUAAUAUCACCCAGAAUUUGGUCGACGGGAUGAUCCCUUUGAAUCAUCGCUCGAACUUGGGUUGGAGGUGCCGGUUGUGCUUCUUCCUCCAUCACAUGAUCAUCUUGUGCUCCCCAUUGAUCACACUCCUCUUGAUGAACCUGUUCAUCGUUUUGAGUUGGGGGAUGCAUCAUUGUUGAGGAAGAAGGUUGAUCUUGCUCCAAUUGUUCCUGUGGUCGCACAUCACCAAUCGCCAUGGUGCGCAUAGCGGCCGUUGGAACGUCUUCUUCAUCUAAAUCAUCAAGAUCAACAACUUGCUCUCUUGGAGAGCCAUUAGUCUCAUCAAAUACAACGUCGCUAGAGACUUCAACCAAACCCGAUGAUUUGUUGAAGACUCUAUACGCCUUUGUAUUUGACUCAUAACCUAACAAAAACCCUUCUACAGCUUUGGGAGCAAACUUAGAAUUUCUACCCUUCUUUACUAGAAUGUAGCACUUGCUCCCAAAUACACGAAAGUAAGAUACAUUGGGUUUGUUACCGGUUAGUAGCUCAUACGAAGUCUUCUUGAGGAGGCGAUGAAGGUAGACCCUGUUGAUGGCGUGGCAAGCCAUGUUCACGGCUUCCGACUAGAAACACUCGGGGGUCUUGAAUUCUCCAAGCAUCGUCCUCGCCAUAUCGAUUAGUGUCCUGUUCUUCCUCUCUACCACACCAUUUUGCUGUGGUGUGUAGGGAGCGGAGAACUCGUGCUUGAUCCCUUCCUCCUCAAGGAACUCCUCCACUUGAAGAUUCUUGAAAUCGGACCCGUUGUCGCUCCUUAUCUUCUUCACCUUGAGCUCAAACUCAUUUUGAGCUCUCCUAAGGAAGCGCUUGAGGGUCCCUUGGGUUUCAGACUUAUCCUGCAAAAAGAACACCCAAGUGAAGCGGGAAAAGUCAUCGACAAUAACUAGACCAUACUUACUUCCCCCUAUGCUCAGAUAGGCGACGGGUCCGAAGAGGUCCAUAUGCAGCAGCUCCAGGGGUCUUGAAGUGGUCAUCACAUUCUUGCUGUGAUGCGCUCCUCCCACUUGUUUACCUGCUUGACAAGCUGCACAAGGUCUAUCUUUUUCGAAUUGUACGUUAGUCAAACCUAUCACGUGUUCUCCCUUUAGAAGCUUGUGAAGGUUCUUCAUCCCCACAUGUGCUAAGCGGCGAUGCCACAGCCAGCCCAUGCUAGUCUUAGCAAUUAAGCAUGCAUCUAGACCGGCCUCUUCUUUUGCAAAAUCAACUAAGUAAAGCUUGCCGUCUAAUACACCCUUAAAAGCUAGUGAACCAUCACUUCUUCUAAAGACAGACACAUCUACAUUUGUAAAUAGACAGUUAUAUCCCAUAUUGCAUAAUUGACUAACAGAUAACAAAUUAUAUCCAAGAGACUCUACUAAAAACACAUUAGAGAUAGAGUGCUCAUUAGAAAUUGCAAUUUUACCUAACCCUUUUACCUUGCCUUGAUUCCCAUCACCGAAUAUAAUUGAAUCUUGGGAAUCCUUAUUCUUGACGUAGGAGGUGAACAUCUUCUUCUCCCCCGUCAUAUGGUUUGUGCAUCCGCUGUCGAUAAUCCAGCUUGAACCCCCGGAUGCAUAAACCUGCAAGGCAAAUUUAGGCUUGGGACUUAGGUACCCAACUCUUGUUGGGUCCUACAAGGUUAGUCACAAUUUCCUUAGGGAUCCAAAUGCAAGUUUUAUCACCCUUGCAUUUUGCCCCUAACUUCCUAGCAAUCACCUUUCUAUCCUUUCUACAAAUUGCAAAGGAAGCAUUCAAAGCAUGAUAUAUUGUAGAAGGCUCAUUAACUUUCCUAGGCACAUUAACAACAUUUCUCCUAGGCAUAUUAUGAACAACAUUUCUCCUACCAACGUUCCUAUCAUGCUCAUAGAAAGAACUAGAAGCAACCAUGUCAUGAUAAACAUAUGAAUCAAAAACAUUAUAACUUCUAUUUGCAUUUCUAGUAUGUCUCCUAUCAUGAUACAUAAAAGCAUGGUUCUUUUUAGCACUACCAGCCAUAGGGGCCUUCCCUUUCUCCUUGGCGGAAAUGGGAGCCUUAUGGCUUGUUAAGUUCUUGGCUUCCCUCUUGAAGCCAAGUCCAUCCUUAAUUGAGGGAUGUCUACCAAUCGUAUAGGCAUCCCUUGCAAAUUUUAAUUUAUCAAAUUCGCUUUUGCUAGUCUUAAGUUGGGCAUUAAGACUAGCCACUUCAUCAUUCAAUUUAGAAAUUGAAACUAGGUGUUCACUACAAGCAUCAACAUUAAAAUCUUUACACCUAGUGCAAACCAUAACAUGUUCUACACAAGAGUUAGAUUUACUAGCCACUUCUAGUUUAGCAUUUAAAUCAUUAUUAACACCUUUUAAAGUAGCAAUGGUUUCAUGACAAGAAGAUAAUUCACUAGAAAGCACUUCAUUUCUUUUAACUUCUAAAGCAUAAGAUUUUUGUGCCUCUACAAAUUUGUCAUGCUCUUCAUAUAAAAGAUCCUCUUGUUUUUCUAAGAGUCUAUCCUUUUCAUUCAAGGCAUCAAUCAAUUCAUUAAUCUUUUCUACUUUAGUUCUAUCCAAUCCCUUGAACAAACUAGAGUAAUCUAUUUCUUCAUCACUGGACUCAUCAUCACUAGAAGAAUCAUAAGUGACAUUGUUUUGAUUGCAUACCUUCUUCUCCCUUGCCAUAAGGCAUGUGUGACGCUCGUUGGGGAAGAGGGAUGACUUGUUGAAGGCGGUGGCGGCGAGUCCUUCAUUGUCGGAGUCGGAGGAGAAGCAAUCUGAAUCCCACUCCUUUCCGAUAUGUGCCUCGCCCUUGGCCUUCUUGUAAUGCUUCUUCUUCUCCCUUUUGUUCCCCUUUUCCUGGUCACUUUCAUUAUCGGGACAGUUAGCAAUGAAAUGACCAAUCUUACCGCAUUUGAAGCACGAGCGCUUCUCCUUUGUCUUGGUCUUGCUUGGCUGUCCCUUGCGACCUUUAAGCGCCGUCUUGAAGCGCUUAAUGAUGAGGGCCAUCUCCUCAUUAUUUAGCCCGGCCGCCUCAACUUGCGCCACCUUGCUCGGUAGCGCCUCCUUGCUCCUCGUUGCCUUGAGAGCAAUGGGUUGAGGCUCAUGAAUAGGACCGUUCAACGCGUCGUCCACAUAUCUUGCCUCCUUGAUCAUCAUUCGCCCGCUUACGAACUUCCCCAGAACUUCUUCGGGCGACAUCUUGGUGUACCUAGGAUUUUCACGAAUAUUGUUCACCAAAUGAGGAUCAAGAACGGUAAAGGACCUUAGCAUUAGGCGGACGACGUCGUGAUCCGUCCAUCGCGUGCUUCCGUAGCUCCUUAUUUUGUUGAUAAGGGUCUUGAGCCGGUUGUAUGUUUGAGUUGGCUCCUCGCCCCUUAUCAUUGCGAACCGUCCAAGCUCGCCCUCCACCAACUCCAUCUUGGUGAGUAAGGUGACAUCGUUCCCCUCAUGAGAGAUCUUGAGGGUGUCCCAGAUCUGCUUGGCAUUGUCCAAGCCGCUCACCUUAUGGUACUCGUCCCUGCACAAAGAGGCUAGCAACACAGUAGUAGCUUGUGCAUUUUUAUGAAUCUGUUCAUUAAUAAACAUGGGACUAUCCGUACUAUCAAAGUGCAUUCCACUUUCUACAAUCUCCCAUAUGCUAGGAUGGAGAGAGAACAAGUGACUACGCAUUUUGUGACUCCAAAAUCCGUAGUCCUCUCCAUCAAAAUGAGGAGGUUUACUAAGUGGAAUAGAUAAUAACUGAGCAUUAGUACUUUGAGGAAUACGAGAGUAAUCAAAAGAAAAGUACGAAUUGACCGGUUUCUUUCUCUCGUAUUCGUUGUGGUCGUCGUCCUUUUGGGAGGAAGUAGACUCAUCGCUGUCGUAGUAGACGAUCUCCUUGAUGUGUCUUGUCUUCUUCUUCUUCCCAUCUUUGCGUCUGUGGCCCGAGCCCGAGUCGUUGGACUUGUCAUCCCUUGGCUCGUUGACGAAGGACUCCUUCUCCUUGUCGUUGAUCACGAUUCCCUUCCCUUUAGGAUCCAUCUCUUCGGGCGGUUAGUCCCUUUGUGAAGAGAACGGCUCUGAUACCAAUUGAGAGCACCUAGAGGGGGGGUGAAUAGGUGAUCCUGUGAAACUUGAAAACUUAAGCCACAAAACUUGGUUAAUCGUUAGCACAAUAAUUGCCAAGUGGCUAAAUAGGAAUCCUCAACAAAAUACAAUAACCAACAAAGAUCAAUCACAGAGAUGACACGGUGGUUAUCCCGUGGUUCGGCCAAGACCAACGCUUGCCUACUCCACGUUGUGGCGUCCCAACGGACGAGGGUUGCAAUCAACCCCUCUCAAGCGGUCCAAAGACCCACUUGAAUACCACGGUGUUUUGCUUUGCUUAUCUUUAUCCCACUUGCGAGGAAUCUCCACAAAUUGGAGUCUCUCGCCCUUACACUUAAAGUUCACAAAGAAGCACGGAGUAAGGGAGGGAAGCAACACACACAAAUCCACAGCAAAAUGCGCACACACACGGCCAAGAAUCGAGCUCAAAAGACUAUCUCAAAGUUCUCACUAGAACGGAGCUCGAAUCACUGAGAAUGACAAACGAAUGCGCAAAGACUGAGUGUGGAUGAUCAAGAAUGCUCUAAGGUUGCUUGGUUUUUCUCCUCCAUGCGCCUAGGGGUCCCUUUUAUAGCCCCAAGGCGGCUAGGAGCCGUUGAGAACAAAUCUGGAAGGCCAUCCUUGCCUUCUGUCGUCGGGCGCACCGGACAGUCCGGUGCACACCGGACACUGUCCGGUGCCCGAUUUCCUUCCUUAAAUGGCGAAGCCGACCGUUGCAGAUGUGGGAGCCGUUGGCGCACCGGACAUGUCCGGUGCACACCAGACAGUCCGGUGCCCCCUUCCGACCGUUGGCUCGGCCACGUGUCGCGCGCGGAUUCCGCGGCCGACCGUUGGCCCGGCCGACCGUUGGCUCACCGGACAGUCCGGUGCACACCGGACAGUCCGGUGAAUUUUAGGCGUACGUCGCCGGUGAAUUCCCGAGAGCGGCCAGUUCGCUCGAGCCAGCAUGGCGCACCGGACACUGUCCGAUGCACCACCGGACAGUCCGGUGCCCCAGACCGAAACAGCCUCUUGGCUGUACACAGCCAACUCUUCUCUUUCCUUCUUCUUUCUGUUUCUGAUACUUAGACAAGUAUAUUAGUACACAAAACCAAUGUACUAAGACUUAGAAACAUACCUUUGCUCUUGAUUUGCACUUUGUCCAUUCAUGGGCAUAGAUUUACAUUUAAGCACUUGUGUUGGCACUCAAUCACCAAAAUACUUAGAAAUGGCCCAAGGGCACAUUUCCCUUUCAUGGAUAAAUAAGUGGGGGUGAGCAAUAAAUUUCAUCCUAGAUUUAGAAGGAAUAAAUAUAUCACUAAAUACGUUUUUUUUUACAAUGGCAAGUUAAUCAGGUGGGAGCGAGAAACAAUUCUAGCGAGGCUAGGUUGUACUAGCCCAAAAUUACAUACAACAGAGGAAAAAUGAAGAAAAUGAUGGUCUACCAAAUAUGGCGCAUGAGCCUUAAGGUGCACCUAGAGGGAAGUAGAAGAAUAAAUAUAUAAUAGCAUAUGUUUUUCGCAAUGCAAGGUAAAGUGUAGAUGUGCUCUAACUGGGCUUAGAUUGCAGCGACACAUUAUGCAUCUACAAGGCUUGGUUGCACAUGGAAAAAGAUAGAGAGAGAAAUGUAGACGCAGGACCGGGAGAAAACAUUCAAUGAGACGUGAUUGCACGGACAUAGAACUAGAUAUAAGACAAGAGUUAAAGAAAAAAAGGAACUAAAUUUUCUUGUGCACACUAAGCAUGAAUGGAGUUGUAGUAUCUGAGAUCAAAAUUUAAUUUAUUCCAAGAUGCAGAACAAAAACGUGAUAUUCGUAAUGGUUACAUAGGAACAAAAGUAGAUAAGAAAAAUAGCAAAAAGAUAGUGGUCUACCAGAGAGGGCACAUGUGCCUCAAUUGGCCUAUAGCAUAGUGGCUCAUUAUCCUUCCACCGCUGGUGGCGGGCGGUACUCGCUGCUCUGUGAAGCCAGCCUCACGCAAUGUCCGCCACUUUAGGUGUUGGGAUGCAAAGGCUUUCGCCAAGGCAUCCGAAACCCACUACACAACUUGGAAUGGGUGGUCCACAAUUUGUAGCACUAGACCCAUACACAUGCACCACAAUUGAUAUCCACACUACCUUAUUGCCCCCGCUCGGGUUACAAGCAAUCGCUACU
This 44729-nucleotide long non-coding RNA is filed under the name Zea mays. Its description in RNAcentral is "long non-coding RNA (ZMAY_LNC000227)". The record is from RNAcentral. Lineage: Eukaryota; Viridiplantae; Streptophyta; Magnoliopsida; Poales; Poaceae.